RNAcentral lists this ribosomal RNA (324 nucleotides) under uncultured eukaryote. RNAcentral describes it as "partial 18S ribosomal RNA". It matches the Rfam family "Eukaryotic small subunit ribosomal RNA", at positions 1470 to 1796 of the family's 1831-position model. The record is from RNAcentral.
CCCUUAGAUGUUCUGGGCCGCACGCGCGCUACACUGAUGCAUUCAACGAGCACCCGCUGGGCCGAGAGGUCCGGCUAAUCUUUGAACGUGCAUCGUGCUGGGGAUAGAUGAUUGCAAUUAUUCAUCUUCAACGAGGAAUUCCUAGUAAACGCAAGUCAUCAGCUUGCAUUGAUUACGUCCCUGCCCUUUGUACACACCGCCCGUCGCACCUACCGAUUGAAUGGUCCGGUGAAAUUCUCGGACGCGGACUUGCAAUGUUAAUUCGGCGCUUGUCUGUGAAAGUUAAUUAAACCUUACCAUUUAGAGGAAGGUGAAGUCGUAACA